Phacochoerus africanus (Common warthog) is the source of this 748-nucleotide long non-coding RNA. RefSeq lists it as uncharacterized. Lineage: Eukaryota; Metazoa; Chordata; Mammalia; Artiodactyla; Suidae. The record is from RefSeq and is a predicted model, not a curated record. The transcript is spliced from 3 exons.
GGAGUUCCCACUGUGGUGAAACAGUAUCAGUGGCAUCUCUGGAGCCCAGCAGAAUGGUUUAUGGGUCAGUGGAUGGAGGCAGAGGCUUAAAGGCUUAAAGCUGCACCUUGAAAGAUGCCCAGAACCAAGUCUUCGCAGAGCACCUUUGUUGAAUUCCUUACGCAUUGCUUGAAGCAGCUGAUAUGCAGCUUGUGGUUGAUGUGAAUUGAAGCAUUCCCCUUGGGACAACAACAGGGAUGCUAUGAAAACAUUAAAGAGAUAACAUAACUGGGUCCUUUGGCUAAAGUGGCCGAGCUACUGCCUCUCUGCUGGCACCCCAGGCCGGAUCUCGGAAGAAGCCAGCCGUGUGGUUCGUAAAAGGCAGCAGAAGGCGCCCAUCUCCACGGGAAGCAUCCUGGUUUAGAGAAACAAGUGCUCUGUGGAAGUUCCAGCAUCACAUGGAUGAGCCGAACGACUGGGACAAGUCAUGUGCCAGCUUCAGCCUUCCGUCUUUAGCUGUAAAACCGGUCCCUCUCUUCCAACCUCUUUAGGCAGUUUGCAGACACGUACACCAGUUCUGUUACUCAUAUGGAAUUGGUAGAACUUAAUAUGAGACUCAGUACAGCAUGGAGGUGGAUGAUAACAGCUCACAUAUACAGCCUGACUAGCUACCAAGAAUUGUUCCAAGUCAGAUGUUCCAACCGUUCUCAUUUCGUGGCAUUCACAGUGACACUGUUUUUUGUUUUUUGUUUUUUUUUUUCAUGGCAUA